RNAcentral lists this ribosomal RNA (253 nucleotides) under uncultured bacterium. RNAcentral describes it as "partial 16S ribosomal RNA". It matches the Rfam family "Bacterial small subunit ribosomal RNA", at positions 524 to 776 of the family's 1533-position model. The record is from RNAcentral.
UACGUAGGCAGCAAACGUUGUUCGGAAUUACUGGGCGUAAAGAGUGUGUAGGCGGCUUUGUUAGUCUGGUGUGAAAUCUCCCGGCUUAACUGGGAGGGUGCGCUAGAAACUGCAAGGCUAGAGUAUCGGAGAGGAAAGCGGAAUUCCUGGUGUAGCGGUGAAAUGCGUAGAUAUCAGGAGGAACACCGGUGGUGUAGACGGCUUUCUGGACGAUCACUGACGCUGAGACACGAAAGCGUGGGGAGCAAACAGG